UGGUGCAUAGCUUCCUCAAUGAGGACCUGUCUUGACAAUGGGAAGUGACACAGAUUCUAUUAAUGUUAGCUUGUUUUUAUUACCCAACAAGUCACCAUGCUUAAUUCAGCUGUCAUUCUUUCUAAAAUAAGAAUGCCAUUACUUGACAUUGCUUUUCACAGGGACUAUUUGACAGCCUUACAGAUCUCUAGAAUAAUUCCGCUUUCUUUCUUUGUAAGUUACAAGAGUUCAAAGUACAAGAGUUUAUCACUUGCUCUUGGUUAAAGUUUAUUUCUUUGUAUUAUUGGUGUGAUGAGUGUUUGAGGGAUUGAAUGAACAGUGCGUUAAACAUUCUAAGUGUAAAAUGUAAUUAUACAUAACCCUCCUCCUUCAUUAACCAACAUUAUCCACCCAUUUCCUCAAAAUAUAAUGUGACCCAAUAAGUAAAUUUCUAAUAUGCCUAUUUUGUAUGUCUUUGUCUGCCUUAAAGAAAAUACAAAUUACUGGAAAAAAGUUCAUUGAUAUAUUUCUUAAAACAUUAAAACAUGCUAAUAUGAAUUCAGUCUUCAAAGGUGAAAAAGAGAUUCCACAUAUAUAACACAUCUGAAUUCCUUUUACAGAAAUUAUUUUAAUUCAUUUAGUAUUUAUUUUUCUUCCCUUUACACUUAAAUUUUAAUGUUGG
This 661-nucleotide long non-coding RNA is filed under the name Homo sapiens (human). Its description in RNAcentral is "long non-coding RNA NONHSAT187879". The record is from RNAcentral. Lineage: Eukaryota; Metazoa; Chordata; Mammalia; Primates; Hominidae.